Molecule: long non-coding RNA, 536 nt
Organism: Pongo pygmaeus (Bornean orangutan)
Lineage: Eukaryota; Metazoa; Chordata; Mammalia; Primates; Hominidae
Exons: 3
Source: RefSeq, a predicted model, not a curated record
UGGAAUCUGGAACUGGUCACUUGGAAACUGGGAAUCGUUGGUCUUCUCUUUGUGUUCUAGAACGGAGGCAAUUAUACUUCCACUCGUCUCCCAGGCAGACAGUUCAGAAUGAAUGAGAAGGACAUGCAAAUGAGAAGAAGAAAGAGAGCCCACGGUUGUUGAGCCUACAGGACAUUCUCAAACACUGAGAAUAGGAAGACUGACAAAGAUCAUUUAGGAAAUAUCUCAUAGACUACGCUGCUGUUCACAUAGCUCAGAACUCCAAGUGAUUUUGGUGACAAUUGAAAUGUUAUUAUAAUUGAAAAUACUUUGUUAACAUCCUAUGGCCAUGUCAUGUGAGCAUUCAUAAUGUGAUGGCACAGAAAAGCACCAGGAGCAGUGCAUUUAUUCUGCACUUUAGAUGUCGUAAAAAGGCUCUGCAGAAGACCGGACAGCCAUUAUGAUAUGAUACGCUUAUAAUUCAGCAGAUUGAUUUCUGCAAAAUAUCAGAGAUCAUGCUGGAGAAAUGAAAAGCACCAUUAAAAAGCAAUUAUGUA